This is a long non-coding RNA of Anopheles stephensi (Asian malaria mosquito), 2730 nucleotides long. RefSeq lists it as uncharacterized. Lineage: Eukaryota; Metazoa; Arthropoda; Insecta; Diptera; Culicidae. The transcript has 2 exons. The record is from RefSeq and is a predicted model, not a curated record.
GUCCAGAAUAGGCGAAAGCUUAUAGAUGCUGCUUUUCUUUUCGACCCCCCUUUUCCACGGAUGCUUCUGCGGGGUCUGUUUGCGCAAGCUGACGAUUUCGCUGUUGUAGGCCCUUCGUUGUAUGCCCCGAAUUAUCACCCGUUCGGCUUCCGCUAGCUCAUCUUGGGUCAGUGGCCCAAUCACUGUGGCGUGACGCGACGACGGAUAUUCUGCGCGAAGCGAAUUACAAACGCUACGGCACGAAGCACCCGUUUCCACUUCGAGAACCGGUCGAGAACGAUGAGCGGUUCUGUAACUUGGUGGUGAUGGACACUCUUUCGAAGCUCUUCCGACGUGUCUUUCUCCGGGUCGACGCGAGCAGGCCACGCAUUUUCCGGUCCCCAGAGAAACGGCGGUCCGCUAAACCAUCGCCCUUGUGCCGAUAGGUCCGGCGUCUUAGCCCAUUUCGUCCCAUCGUCAGCCCCCGGGCCUACUCUUGCCACUGCGCAAGGCCCGUAGACGAUCCAUCCCAGCCGGGUUUUCGAGACGACCGGCUCGUUGCACUUUCCGUCUACACUCUUAAGCACUCGAGUCAUAUUACAGUUAUCGAUGCCUAUGAGGACGCGAGGUACGGCUCGGACGUAGGAUGUGACGGGAAGACCUCUCAGAUCAGUCUAUUUUUCCGACAGUUGAGUCACGUUGACGAACUGUGCUGGAAGAGCAGCCUCUUUGAGGUUGUGCACCUCUGAUAGUUCGUAGAUCGUUUCCGGCACAGCGGAUGCGGCGUUCCAGUAAGUCCGAGUUCCUAUAUCAGUCUGUGCUUCACAAACGUGGGCGUAGAGUCGUCGUCUAGGAAGGCAAACGUGUCUAUGCGCCCACCAGGUCCAUGCAGCGUAACGGGUACUUAUUUGAGGAGCGCGUUCUCCUUCAGUCCCGAAUGGGUAAGAACGUUAGCUACAUCAGCGUCAACGGUUUUACCUGAAACGCCGAGCAGAUCGCGCUCGUCAAGGUCGGCGUGUGUCCGGUUAUCUACGUGAAGCAGCUCAUGAUGUUGCACGCCGCAUCCAUUUACCCCACACGGCGCCUUUACGCCGCAUCUGCCCCCAUGGUACCCGAGGCACUUUCGACAUAUCCUGCGUUCAUUCACAAAAGCUCUCCUGGCAGCAACCGUUGUUCCUCGGAACCGCUUACACUGGGCAAGCGAAGGACAGUUCGCGCCGCACAGAAAGCAAGUCGACGGGAAGGACGCUGCGAUCGACGAUGCUGGUUCACCAGAAAAAUCCUCUUGCGUCGCGUUGCAAUAAGCAGGAUGGACUCGUCGGGUGCCGAUCGGCUGUCGUCGCUCGGGUUGCGCUGGCGGGUGUUUCUGGAGCUCGGCGUCUCGAGUCACUAUCACCCGUGACAGCAACCACGUCGAUCACGCCGCAGAGAUCUUCCGCCAGGUCGCCAAUCCAUCGACCAAACUCUAUCAGUGUGACCUCCGAAAGAUGCCUUCUCGCACGCGCCCAAUCGAUGCACAAGACGGGCGGCAGUUUCCGGACCAGCUCCUUCAGUAAUGCUACAUCGUACAUGUAGCCACGUAUCCCAGAUGCCGUCAUCGCUCCUACCAAACGCUUUACUGCGAACCCAAAUUCAACUACAGUCGACAACCUUUCAAAUUUUGUCGGCGCCAUCCUCCUGAUCUUCUCGGUCAUGGAUUCGACAAUCAAAUCGGGCCUGCCAAACCGCGCAUGUAAGGUCGCCAUAGCCUCCUUCAACCCGCUGGGGAAUGACAGGAGGUGUCCUACUGCCUCGAGCGCCGCACCUCUCAACGCCUGUUGCAGCCGCCUGGGAGCCCUACAAAGUUUCCAACGGGUAGGUAGGUCAUUAUUGGCUGUAAUAGAGAAGCUGAACAAUUUUUUCUGCCCAAAACAACAUGAUGGUUUUGAAAGCAAUAAAUUCUAGACGCGGAAGCCGGACGGGGACAGUGGGAAGUGCGAAGAGCUCGUUUUCCACUGUCACAGACGGGUACAAAAAUGCGUGUACGGAAUGGAGGGAAGCAUGCAAUUGGUAAUACAGAAAGGAAACGCUUGGAAAUUUUUUUAUAACAUCACUGAUGCCAAAGAGAUGAUGUGAGUUAAAGAGCAAGCAUAAGAAUAAAGCAUGUCAAGCGGUGAGGUAUGUGGUGAGACAGAGGAAUGUGUGGAAACAUUCCCUCGCUAUGAGGAUAGACCAAAAUCGCGGACAGCCUCGAGAAAGUUUUCCGCAAAUGUAAAAAUAGAAGAUCCAGGAAAAAUAACAGAACUUUCACAAAGUUUUUACGUCGUAAAGGGAAACCAACAAUCACUAGUAGGUAAAGAUAAAAGAAGUAAGAGUUGAAAUACCCAUAGACAGACCGGGUGUCUAUAGGCGAACGGGUGUCUCCUUUAGUUCCAAUCAUUACGAACAAUGGUGAUUUGCGCCUAUGUGUAGAUAUGCGUAGAGCAAAGAAGGCCAUCAUGAGUGAGCAACACUUCACCACGGCUAAAAUAUUCUCUCGUUUGGACUUUAAGGAAGCCCAAACCUCCUUAAUUCUCUAUACCUUUUCCAUCAGGUAUAACUGCACGAGAAUAGCAAAAAUAUAAAAGAUAUAAAAAGAUAUAAAAGAUUGUUAUUUGGAAUUGUAGCUACGCCGGGAAAUUUCCAGUGUAUUAUGGAACACAAUUUGGCCAAAUUUAAUAGAAACGUUGUGAAUUGUAUUGACGACAUAAUAAACCACCAUACACCAUACGA